AUAGUUUGAUUAUGGCUCAGAUUGAACGUUGGCGGCAGCUUUCAUACAUGCAAGUCGAACGGGCUAUCACCCUUCGGGCGAUAUGCUAGUGGCGGACGGGUGAGUAACGCGUAGGAAUCUACCUGGUUGAGGGGAAUAACAUCAGGAGACUGGUGCUAAUACCGCAUAAGACCUAAGGGUGAAAGCGGGGGAUCUUCGGACCUCGCGCGACCAGAGGAGCCUGCGUUGGAUUAGCUUGUUGGUGAGGUAAUGGCUCACCAAGGCGACGAUCCAUAGCUGGUCUGAGAGGACGAUCAGCCACACUGGAACUGAGACACGGUCCAGACUUCUAAGGAAGGCAGCAGUAGAGAAUAUUGCACAAUGGGGGAAACCCAGAUGCAGGCAUGCCGCGUGUGUGAAGACAGCCCUAGGGUUGUAAAGCACUUUCGGUGGUGAAGAAAGCCGGCGCGCUAAUACCGCGAUCCGGGUAGACGUUAACCGCUAAAGAAGCACCGGCUAACUCCGUGCCAGCAGCCGCGGCAAGACGGAGGGUGCGAACGUUAAUCGGAAUUACUGGGCGUAAAGCGCACGUAGGCGGAUGGUCAAGUGGGAUGUGAAAGCCCUAGGCUCAACCUGGGAAUUGCAUUCCAAACUGACGAUCUAGAGUGUAGUAGAGGAAAGUGGAAUUUGCUGUGUAGCGGUGAAAUGCGUAGAUAUGGCAAGGAACAUCAGUGGCGAAGGCGGCUUUCUGGACUAACACUGACGCUCAGGUGCGAAAGCGUGGGUAGCGAACAGGAUUAGAUACCCUGGUAGUCCACGCCGUAAACGAUGAGAACUAGCCGUAGAUCUU
RNAcentral lists this ribosomal RNA (829 nucleotides) under uncultured Gammaproteobacteria bacterium. Its description in RNAcentral is "bacterial SSU rRNA". It matches the Rfam family "Bacterial small subunit ribosomal RNA", at positions 8 to 830 of the family's 1533-position model. The record is from RNAcentral. Lineage: Bacteria; Pseudomonadati; Pseudomonadota; Gammaproteobacteria.